Molecule: small nuclear RNA, 20 nt
Filed under: Arabidopsis thaliana (thale cress)
Lineage: Eukaryota; Viridiplantae; Streptophyta; Magnoliopsida; Brassicales; Brassicaceae
Description: snRNA_02978
Source: RNAcentral
GCAAGUCAUCCUUGGCUGCA